GAUGAACGCUGGCGGCGUGCCUAAUACAUGCAAGUCGAGCGAACAGAUGAGGAGCUUGCUCCUCUGACGUUAGCGGCGGACGGGUGAGUAACACGUGGAUAACCUACCUAUAAGACUGGGAUAACUUCGGGAAACCGGAGCUAAUACCGGAUAAUAUAUUGAACCGCAUGGUUCAAUAGUGAAAGACGGUUUUGCUGUAACUUAUAGAUGGAUCCGCGCCGCAUUAGCUAGUUGGUAAGGUAACGGCUUACCAAGGCAACGAUGCGUAGCCGACCUGAGAGGGUGAUCGGCCACACGGGAACUGAGACACGGUCCAGACUCCUACGGGAGGCAGCAGUAGGGAAUCUUCCGCAAUGGGCGAAAGCUUGACGGAGCAACGCCGCGUGAGUGAUGAAGGUCUUCGGAUCGUAAAACUCUGUUAUUAGGGAAGAACAAAUGUGUAAGUAACUAUGCACGUCUUGACGGUACCUAAGCAGAAAGCCACGGCUAACUACGU
This 496-nucleotide ribosomal RNA is filed under the name uncultured bacterium. Its description in RNAcentral is "partial 16S ribosomal RNA". It matches the Rfam family "Bacterial small subunit ribosomal RNA", at positions 28 to 506 of the family's 1533-position model. The record is from RNAcentral.